AAACGAACAUUGGGUGUUCUCCCCCCUUUUCCCUUCUAUCUAACCCAUCCACCCAGCUGUCCCCGCGUCCACAAGCAGCCUCGCUCACGUGCGAGGAGGUCGACUUUCCAGAGCACACGCGGGGCAGCCCUCGUGGGUGCUCAAAAGGAGGUGCAGAACCUGGCUGGGGCACAGCAGCAGCAGAGUAGCACCAGCACCAGCCACGGCGGGAAUCUUAGUAGGCAACAAGGAGUCGAAACAGGUGCCAAGUAAUGGGUAAGCGAAACGAAAGCGGUGGCGGCGAUGUAUCGUCGUUGCGCCGCCACCGCAGCCGUCGGUCCGACCGGCGUGACGACGAUGACGACGUAGGCGACUACGGCGACCGGCAUCGUCGCCGGCGCCGUGACAGCGACUCGCUCGCUGACCGCCAGCAUCACCAUCACCACCGACAUCGCAGCUCGCACCACCAUCGCCGAGGCAGCGCGGAGGGAAGGGAAGACAGCAGUGAUGUCACGCGAUCGGAGCGUGUCUUACGGUCUCAUCACCGCCCGCGACCGGAGCUCAGCGACAGUGACGACGAGUACGGCAACUUCAACGAUAAUCGUCUCUCGCGUCGGCGGCGCGACGGUCAGCAGCGUCGGGAGCGCAGUCGAAGUGAAGAAGAUGACAUAGACGACCGGCGUGGGAGACGAGAGAAAGGGAAGCGGUAUCGCGACACUGCGGCGGCAGACGAUGACGACGACAGUCGUCAGCAAGGUCGCAAGUGUCGUCGUGACGGUCGACAGAGCGUCGACGAGGCGAGUCGCAGCGUGGGUGGCAACGCUGCAGCAAACUUGAGCGAUCGCCGCGCCUACGGGGAUCGCUUCCAGGCGGGCAACAGUGCGGCCAGCUCGACUUACACGGAGAGCAGCACAGUGGACUGGAGCUCCCGUCGCGGUCGUCAGCGCAUGCGGGGUCUUGCGUACGACGUGGACCAGCGGAAGCGUUUUCUGGGCUUUCUGGACCGCUGCGAUGCAUCAGGCGGCCGUGCGGCGGCAGCGGCGAUGGAGUUCGGAAUCGGUCCUGACGGCCUUGUGCAGAUGCCUCCACCGCCCACGCUCGUGCGCCGCCAGAAUCGCAGCCGGUUUGGCGCCACCGACAACAACGAUGGAAACGGCAGCGGUGUUUGCCAGCAGCCGCAGCAGCACCGUCGACGACGCCCGCCCAACUCCGUAGCUCCGAUGGCGAACACCCACGACAAGGACGGCGACGACAACAGCUCUGUUGCAUCGCACGAGUCCCUCUACAACGACCCUGCGGCGGCAGACAUGGGCAUUCUGCCCGACAUCAUUCCACCGUCCAAUCUCUACCGCGUCGCUCUCUGCGGGGUAGACCUUUCGGUGACGGCCUCGCACCUAAGCUCGAUGGUGGCGCAGCUGCUGGGCGGUGGUGCGAAGCCGUGGCGCGUGCGCCGACCGGCGCGUGAGAUGCUGCACGCCGCAGUAAGCUACAACCACGCUGCGCAGCAACAGCCUCGGCACCAGCAGCCGCUCCCAUCAAACAAGUGCAUCAUCACGAGCGCAGCGUCGUCGUCUGGGGUGCUCGCUGACCUGCCAGCAAGUAUGAGCAACACUUCUCACAGCGUCGAGACCUCACUGAUCGACGUGCUGUCGUGCGAGCCCUCCAUCAUCGGAGACAGGGGCGUGCUCCCUGACGCUGACGGCAGCAACGCCGCCUCGGGCGUGCUGGGCAAUGGGGUAGAGCCGAUCAGCGGCAUCUUGCAGGAUGAAGCGGAGGGUCAGCAGAUGCACAAGGAGGCGAAAGAGAACGACGAAGGCGUGCUGCCGGACGCGUCGCCGCUUCCGCAGCCACCGCAUCCGGCCACCCCCGCGUUCUACCUCCCCGGCCUGCACGAUGUCAACGGCCCGGGCGGAAUGGUGGUGCUGGAGUUCACUGAACAGACGCAUGCGCUCCGCUCCGUGCAGCUGCUAAAUGGUGCAUACGUGAAUGGCCGACGUGUGGUCGCAUCCAUGUAGCCGCCGCUGUGUCAUCUCGUGCUUUGGUGUGCGUACAUCUCAGAUUGAUCAUUUUGGUUGCGUGUGUGUGUGUCUACUGGCGGCGCUGUGAAGAGGGUGCGGUGCGCCUUCAUCAAGGCCUCACUUCGUCCUUGCGGCCCACUCACUCACCCCACCUCUCAUUCGUUUCCGAAGACGUCACGACGGCAAAUGUUUGGAUGGCAGGGCAUCGGGCAGAAGAGCGUGAGCCGAAAGAUGCGGAGCGCAGCGCGCGGUGUUUCAUUCUUCUUUCUUCAACGUGUGUCCAUUCUCUGCCGUGGAGCAGGAGUACGACGCCACUCUACUCUGCUGCCCCCGGCCCUGCCACAGGGUCCAUUUCACCUGGUGCGAAGCAGCCGGAGACACAAGCCCGUACAGCAGUGCGCCGGCCCAGCCAUCGGAGAACGGCCUCUGGCCCAAAUGCUGCCCCCUCAGGGUGCCGCUCAGGGCUCCUCGCACCAGCAGGCAGUGUGACGGCCGGGGGUGGGAUACGCUCGAGCCACGCUGACGCUUCGCCCAUCAUGUGGAUGGCACAGGCGUGUUCGCUGUGGCAGGUCGCUCCGACGCCACGCCGUCCAGGACCUGACCAGCCGACAUCAGCAGCAAUGAAUCGCACUGGCCUCCCCUCACCCCCCCCUUUGGGUUGUAGGUGCUUGACCCUGUCACCGCCAGAGGUGCUUCGGCAUUGGCAGGGAUAAGGGGGAGGGGUCGCUUGGCGUCCCCACACACAGAGUGAGGGCGCUGGACCCUGUGAUGUCACGCUGGGGUAGUCCUCGUCGUCAGGGGCGCGUUGUUACAGCC
Molecule: unclassified non-coding RNA, 2813 nt
Filed under: Leishmania donovani
Lineage: Eukaryota; Euglenozoa; Kinetoplastea; Trypanosomatida; Trypanosomatidae
Description: gene:LdHU3.35.1390(CDS-product:hypothetical_prote in_conserved)
Source: RNAcentral